Molecule: ribosomal RNA, 478 nt
Filed under: uncultured Methylomirabilota bacterium
Lineage: Bacteria; Methylomirabilota (SeqCode)
Description: bacterial SSU rRNA
Rfam family: Bacterial small subunit ribosomal RNA
Source: RNAcentral
UUUCGCAAUGCCCGAAAGGGUGACGAAGCGACGCCGCGUGGGUGAGGAAGGCCUUCGGGUUGUAAAGCCCUGUCAGGAGUUAAGAAAUGUAAGUGCGCUAAUAUCGCAUUUAUUUGACGAAGGCUCCAAAGGAAGUCACGGCUAACUCUGUGCCAGCAGCCGCGGUAAUACAGAGGUGGCAAGCGUUGUUCGGAAUUAUUGGGCGUAAAGAGCACGUAGGUGGGUUUGUAAGUCAGAUGUGAAAGCCUUCUGUUCAACGGAAGAAUUGCAUCUGAAACUGCGAGUCUUGAGUGUAGGAGGGGAGGAUGGAACUUCUGGUGGAGCGGUGAAAUGCGUAGAUAUCAGAAGGAACGCCGGCGGCGAAAGCGAUUCUCUGGCCUAUUACUGACACUCAGUGUGCGAAAGCUAGGGGAGCAAACGGGAUUAGAUACCCCGGUAGUCCUAGCCGUAAACGAUGGGCACUAAGUAGAGGGGUUUU